Molecule: ribosomal RNA, 253 nt
Filed under: uncultured bacterium
Lineage: Bacteria
Description: partial 16S ribosomal RNA
Rfam family: Bacterial small subunit ribosomal RNA
Source: RNAcentral
GACAGAGGAUGCAAGCGUUAUCUGGAAUGAUUGGGCGUAAAGCGUCUGUAGGUGGCUUUUCAAGUCCGCCGUCAAAUCCCAGGGCUCAACCCUGGACAGGCGGUGGAAACUACCAAGCUGGAGUACGGUAGGGGCGGAGGGAAUUUCCGAUGGAGCAAUGAAAUCCAUUGAGAUCGGAAAGAACACCAAUAGCGAAAGCACACUGCUGGGCCGACACUGACACUGAGAGACGAAAGCUAGGGGAGCAAAUGGG